Molecule: ribosomal RNA, 492 nt
Filed under: uncultured bacterium
Lineage: Bacteria
Description: partial 16S ribosomal RNA
Rfam family: Bacterial small subunit ribosomal RNA
Source: RNAcentral
AGUGAACGCUGGCGGUAGGCCUAACACAUGCAAGUCGAACGGCAGCACAGUAAGAGCUUGCUCUUACGGGUGGCGAGUGGCGGACGGGUGAGGAAUACAUCGGAAUCUACUUUUUCGUGGGGGAUAACGUAGGGAAACUUACGCUAAUACCGCAUACGACCUACGGGUGAAAGCAGGGGAUCUUCGGACCUUGCGCGAUUGAAUGAGCCGAUGUCGGAUUAGCUAGUUGGCGGGGUAAAGGCCCACCAAGGCGACGAUCCGUAGCUGGUCUGAGAGGAUGAUCAGCCACACUGGACCUGAGACACGGUCCAGACUCCUACGGGAGGCAGCAGUGGGGAAUAUUGGAAAAUGGGCGCAAGCCUGAUCCAGCCAUACCGCGUGGGUGAAGAAGGCCUUCGGGUUGUAAAGCCCUUUUGUUGGGAAAGAAAAGCAGCAGGUUAAUACCCCGCUGUUCUGACGGUACCCAAAGAAUAAGCACCGGCUAACUUCGUG